GGGUCGUUAGCUUAAAUGGUAGAGCAGUUGACUCUUAAUCAAUUGGUUAUAGGUUCGAUUCCUAUACGACCCA
This is a transfer RNA of 73 nucleotides. It matches the Rfam family "tRNA". Rfam says of the family: Transfer RNA (tRNA) molecules are approximately 80 nucleotides in length. Their secondary structure includes four short double-helical elements and three loops (D, anti-codon, and T loops). The record is from Rfam.